AUUGAACGCUGGCGGAAUGCUUUACACAUGCAAGUCGAACGGUAGAGGGGGCAACCCCUUGAGAGUGGCGAACGGGUGAGUAAUAUAUCGGAACGUGCCCAGUCGUGGGGGAUAACGUAGCGAAAGUUACGCUAAUACCGCAUACGAUCUACGGAUGAAAGCGGGGACCGUAAGGCCUCGCGCGAUUGGAGCGGCCGAUGUCAGAUUAGCUAGUUGGUGGGGUAAAGGCCCACCAAGGCGACGAUCUGUAGCUGGUCUGAGAGGACGACCAGCCACACUGGAACUGAGACACGGUCCAGACUCCUACGGGAGGCAGCAGUGGGGAAUUUUGGACAAUGGGCGCAAGCCUGAUCCAGCAAUGCCGCGUGCAGGAAGAAGGCCUUCGGGUUGUAAACUGCUUUUGUACGGAACGAAACGGUCUGGGCUAAUACCCCGGGCUAAUGACGGUACCGUAAGAAUAAGCACCGGCUAACUACGUG
RNAcentral lists this ribosomal RNA (479 nucleotides) under uncultured bacterium. RNAcentral's name for it is "bacterial SSU rRNA". It matches the Rfam family "Bacterial small subunit ribosomal RNA", at positions 30 to 507 of the family's 1533-position model. The record is from RNAcentral.